AGAUUGAACGCUGGCGGCAGGCCUAACACAUGCAAGUCGAGCGGCAGCACGGGUACUUGUACCUGGUGGCGAGCGGCGGACGGGUGAGUAAUGCCUAGGAAUCUGCCUGGUAGUGGGGGAUAACGCUCGGAAACGGACGCUAAUACCGCAUACGUCCUACGGGAGAAAGCAGGGGACCUUCGGGCCUUGCGCUAUCAGAUGAGCCUAGGUCGGAUUAGCUAGUUGGUGAGGUAAUGGCUCACCAAGGCGACGAUCCGUAACUGGUCUGAGAGGAUGAUCAGUCACACUGGAACUGAGACACGGGU
This 305-nucleotide ribosomal RNA is filed under the name uncultured soil bacterium. RNAcentral describes it as "bacterial SSU rRNA". It matches the Rfam family "Bacterial small subunit ribosomal RNA", at positions 26 to 331 of the family's 1533-position model. The record is from RNAcentral.